UACAGAGGGCUCAAGCGUUGUUCGGAUUCAUUGGGCGUAAAGGGUGCGUAGGUGGCGCGGUAAGUCGGGUGUGAAAUUUCGGAGCUUAACUCCGAAACUGCAUUCGAUACUGCCGUGCUUGAGGACUGGAGAGGAGACUGGAAUUUACGGUGUAGCAGUGAAAUGCGUAGAGAUCGUAAGGAAGACCAGUGGCGAAGGCGGGUCUCUGGACAGUUCCUGACACUGAGGCACGAAGGCCAGGGGAGCAAACGGG
RNAcentral lists this ribosomal RNA (253 nucleotides) under uncultured bacterium. RNAcentral's name for it is "partial 16S ribosomal RNA". It matches the Rfam family "Bacterial small subunit ribosomal RNA", at positions 524 to 776 of the family's 1533-position model. The record is from RNAcentral.